RNAcentral lists this transfer RNA (76 nucleotides) under Chitinophagaceae bacterium. RNAcentral's name for it is "tRNA-Lys". It matches the Rfam family "tRNA". From Rfam's summary of the family: Transfer RNA (tRNA) molecules are approximately 80 nucleotides in length. Their secondary structure includes four short double-helical elements and three loops (D, anti-codon, and T loops). Lineage: Bacteria; Pseudomonadati; Bacteroidota; Chitinophagia; Chitinophagales; Chitinophagaceae. The record is from RNAcentral.
GAUCUCGUAGCUCAGUUGGUAGAGCAAUACACUUUUAAUGUAUGGGUCCUGGGUUCGAGUCCCAGCGGGAUCACGA